CUCAGAAGCCAUAUUCCUCUACUACUUUUAUUCUUGUUCAAGUGUACUAUGUUGUUCUCCUCCAUCUUAUUCACCUACCGACAUACAUGUUUUUUGUGUGUGUUAAAGCAAUAACAGUGACUGUUUGAUUAGUCUUUCUCUAAUUACAACCACGACGAAGACAACAACAACGUACUCAGUGCAUGCAGACCUUGUCAUUAUUUCGUGGAGGUAGAGAGACAGUUUCUGAUCAAAUCUUUCAUGUAUUGGGAC
RNAcentral lists this long non-coding RNA (252 nucleotides) under Capsicum annuum. RNAcentral's name for it is "long non-coding RNA (CANN_LNC015060)". Lineage: Eukaryota; Viridiplantae; Streptophyta; Magnoliopsida; Solanales; Solanaceae. The record is from RNAcentral.